RNAcentral lists this small RNA (131 nucleotides) under Klebsiella pneumoniae. RNAcentral's name for it is "RtT sRNA". It matches the Rfam family "RtT RNA". Rfam says of the family: This family represents a bacterial cis-regulatory element known as RtT RNA. The exact function of RtT is unknown although it is thought that it may be involved in changing the cellular response in relation to amino acid starvation. RNAcentral also lists the same sequence under 1 other name. Lineage: Bacteria; Pseudomonadati; Pseudomonadota; Gammaproteobacteria; Enterobacterales; Enterobacteriaceae. The record is from RNAcentral.
UAUUCUGCCCCACGGGGAAGGAUGAGAAGCUUCGACUAAGGUUCGACUCGAGCGAAGCGAGAGAACGUUGCCGCAGGCAACGGCCCGAAGGGCGAAGCGCUUUAGCGCCGAGUAAUCCUUCCCCACCACUG